GAUGAACGCUGGCGGCGUGCCUAAUACAUGCAAGUCGAGCGAACAGACGAGGAGCUUGCUCCUCUGACGUUAGCGGCGGACGGGUGAGUAACACGUGGAUAACCUACCUAUAAGACUGGGAUAACUUCGGGAAACCGGAGCUAAUACCGGAUAAUAUAUUGAACCGCAUGGUUCAAUAGUUAAAGACGGUUUUGCUGUCACUUAUAGAUGGAUCCGCGCCGCAUUAGCUAGUUGGUAAGGUAACGGCUUACCAAGGCGACGAUGCGUAGCCGACCUGAGAGGGUGAUCGGCCACACUGGACCUGAGACAGGGUCCAGACUCCUACGGGAGGCAGCAGUAGGGAAUCUUCCGCAAUGGGCGAAAGCCUGACGGAGCAACGCCGCGUGAGUGAUGAAGGUCUUCGGAUCGUAAAACUCUGUUAUUAGGGAAGAACAAAUGUGUAAGUAACUAUGCACGUCUUGACGGUACCUAAUCAGAAAGCCACGGCUAACUACGU
This 496-nucleotide ribosomal RNA is filed under the name uncultured bacterium. RNAcentral describes it as "partial 16S ribosomal RNA". It matches the Rfam family "Bacterial small subunit ribosomal RNA", at positions 28 to 506 of the family's 1533-position model. The record is from RNAcentral.